GAAAUGCGAUAAGUAAUGUGAAUUGCAGAAUUCAGUGAAUCAUCGAAUCUUUGAACGCACCUUGCGCUCCUUGGUAUUCCUCGGAGCAUGCCUGUUUGAGUAUCAUGAAAUCCUCAAAAUAAAUCUUUUGUUCAUUCGAUUGAUUUUAUUUUGGACUUGGAGGUCUGCAGAUUCACACUCUGCUCCUCUUAAAUUCAUUAGCUGGAUCUCGAUGAGCUCGGUUCCACUCGGCGUGAUAAGUAUCACUCGCUGAGGACACUGUAAAAGGUGGCCGGGAUUGUUAAAGAACCGCUUCUAAUAGUCUAUUAGCUUAGACAAUUUUAUUUAUGAUCUGAUCUCAAAUCAGGUAGGACUACCCGCUGAACUUAAGCAUAUCAAUAAGCGGAGGAAAAGAAACU
Molecule: ribosomal RNA, 398 nt
Filed under: uncultured Ceratobasidiaceae
Lineage: Eukaryota; Fungi; Basidiomycota; Agaricomycetes; Cantharellales; Ceratobasidiaceae
Description: eukaryotic LSU rRNA
Rfam family: 5.8S ribosomal RNA (bases 1-105)
Source: RNAcentral